GGCCCGGAGCGGGGCGCCUGGCAGGACACAAAAGUAACGAGAUCCCUGGCGUUCUGGGAGUAAUAAUACCAGCCCUGGCAUACUGGGAGGCUGGUUCAGAGAACUCGGCUUCAUUUCCACAGAAGAAAACAAGACACAAAGGAUAGCUUUGUGCCCUUGCCCAUUCCGCUGAGCAACAGGACACAGUCUUGGCUGAGAGCCAGCCUUGGAAAGGGCGAGAGGCUCACACGAUCAGGCUGGCGUGGUUACAAGGUGCCUCCUCAUUAAUUUCUUCCGUUGUCACUGUGUGUGAGCAUGCGUAGCAUCAGGAAGGAGCGAGCAAGCAUUAGGAGCCCUUGACAGAAGCCUCUUUUCCCUCCCAGGUCUGGUGAGGGGUGGGGGAGCCUUGCAGGAAAUGAGGACAUGAUCAAAGGUGGACAAUUAUGCAAAUAGGUAAAUGGUUUUGCGAAGAGUUCUUAAUAACAUAGGAAACGUUUAAGACGUGAACUCUGUGGCCACAACGGUCCUGGGUGUGUGGGGGGGGCGGGGGGGAGGUACGGGGUGUCCAGGGUUGGGAUCGCAUUUGUCUCUGCGAGUCUGGUGACCUUGUGGGCGGACUGAGCACUGAAAAGCCUCCUGGGAGGGCAGUCGGCCCGAAGGAAGAGCCGUGCAUGGCCGGUGACAAGGGCCUGGAGGAAGGGGUGUGGACCUCUGCUUUGGCCCUGUCCUCGUGGAUUUCCAUCUGUGUCCUGAGAGUGCCAGCUGGGAACACCCAGGAGAGAGCUUUGCACUCGGACCUCCGUGGGGUGGUGGGUGGGACGGGCCAAGUGCGUUUCCCUCCGAGUGCAGACGAGAAGGGAGCAGGAGUCGACGUGCUGGAUCACGUGGAAGGUUUAUGUUCACCUUUUCCAGGAACUGCCCAACUGGUUUCCACAGGGGCUGCACCAUUUUUCAUUCCCAUAAGCAAUGCAAGAGGGUUCCAUUUUCUCCACAUGCUCAUCAACAGUUGAAGCCUCUUCAACUUACCAUGGGAUGCAGAGAAUAAACACAUGAGCCCUUGGGCA
Molecule: long non-coding RNA, 1043 nt
Filed under: Felis catus (domestic cat)
Lineage: Eukaryota; Metazoa; Chordata; Mammalia; Carnivora; Felidae
Description: lncRNA (ENSFCAG00000040559.2)
Source: RNAcentral